Molecule: ribosomal RNA, 291 nt
Filed under: uncultured bacterium
Lineage: Bacteria
Description: partial 16S ribosomal RNA
Source: RNAcentral
GGACUACCGGGGUAUCUAAUCCUGUUUGCUCCCCACGCUUUCGUACCUCAGCGUCAGUUUGUGUCCAGAAAGUCGCCUUCGCUACUGGUAUUCCUCCUAAUAUCUACGUAUUUCACCACUACACUAGGAAUUCCACUUUCCUCUCCACUACUCAAGUUUAUCAGUUUCCAAUGCUUUACGGGGUUGAGCCCCGAUCUUUAACAUUCGACUUAUUAAACCGCCUGCGUACCCUUUACGCCCAAUAAUUCCGGACAACGCUCGCUCCAUACGUAUUACCGCGGCGGCUGGCAC